Vicia villosa (hairy vetch) is the source of this 2800-nucleotide RNA transcript. It is a transcript of the gene named B3 domain-containing protein REM23-like, with no coding region annotated. Lineage: Eukaryota; Viridiplantae; Streptophyta; Magnoliopsida; Fabales; Fabaceae. The transcript is spliced from 8 exons. The record is from RefSeq and is a predicted model, not a curated record.
UAGUGUAUCCAACUUUAUAACCCAAAACUCUAAAUAUAUAUUAUGUAAUUUUAAUUGGAAAUAGUUUCACAUAGUGAUUUUAAAGAAAUUAGCAUCAAGUUCUUUGUGAACUCUGGGCAUUGAUAAUUUCACUUUUAGACGCAUGGAAGUCAGAAGUAUGGUAGAGAACUAGUGGAUUUAUAGAAUUGAAAUGUUAUACAGUUAUACUCAGGGGUUAGUACCCUGAUGGUUGGAACUACAAUUAGCUAUGCAAAAGCAAAGAAAGGGUGUCUCACUCAAGUAAGUUUGAUUUUGCAUCUUAUUUGAACUUACUUACAUAAGCACCCGAAUAAGUGUGUAAUGAAAAUAACUUAUGACAUACCCAGGGGCAUGGUUGUCAAAAUCGGGAUCUCGAUAAAGAUCAUUAAGGUAUAGAAAAAUUGUAAAUCGUAAAUUUUAACACGGAUCGUAAGAUCUCAACAAAUAGACAAAAUUAUAGAAAUAACUAGAAAAAAUUACUUUAACAUAAAAUUCUCAUUAAUUUAAUCAUCAAUAGCAAAUAUUUUAUACAAAAAAAACAUAAUAGAAGGAUUUGAUUUGAAUUUAUAGAAAAGAUAGAUGAAGGGAGGAAAUCGAUUCAUUGUAUGAUUAAUCGAUACAAAAUUCUCAGAGUUCUCGUGCCUUUUGUUUGCGGACAAUCUUUAUUUUACAACUCUCAAAAGCUCAUUUAAAAUAUUGCAAGUCCCAAAACUCUAAAGUAUGUGUGCACAAUAGUCAGGGUUAAUUAUGGAUCAGUUUAUAGGCUGAUUCCAAGAUCUCAUGAUUUAAAGAUCUUUCUCUAGGAGUUCACGCUCCAGCCAUAUCCAAGAUCUUUGUGCCACUUAAAUCGGUGGCACGUUGCCAGCGCAUAAGAUCGUAAGAUUUGGGGAGUUAGAAUGAGAUCCCGACAACCAUUACCAUGAGUUCUUUACGGUUUAUCUAAAAAAAUCAUGAUUAUCUAUGAAAAUAGCUUACAAUUUAUACCAGAACAAUUGAACCAUAUUUUCUUUAUAAUUAUCAAAACACUUACGUAUUCAUUAAAGCUUGCCUAAUUGCAUGCUAUAUUUUAAAUGUAUACCCCACCCACUCACUCACCCAACUAUCCAUUUCUUCAAUAAUAAUUAAUUGAAUUUAUGAUGUAUAGGAACUUCUUCAAUCAAUGCCACCCAUCACUUUGUAGUAAGACCAUCAUAAAUACAAAGUUUGGUAGGUUCAUUGAAAACACGUCAAUUUUUUUUAAGGGAGUCAUAUUUCAUUUUUGUGAAUCACCAUUCAAAAAGAAAUUCUACAUUCUGUGAAUCAAAAUAUAUUUUAAGUGAUUCUACAUUGAUAUUUGCAUUGCUCUCUACAUUCUUUGAAUCAUGAUAUCUCAAUAUCGUCCAGAUUUUCGUGUAAUAAUGAUGGAGAGUAAACUUCUUAGACUUCCAAAGAUAUAUGUGAAAAAAUAUUGGAAAGGAACCUCAAAUCCCAUAUUUUUUAGGCUUCCAAAUGGUGUUCAACACAAAAUAUUCUGGGAAGAACGUGAUGGUGAUGUUUGGUUUCAAAAAAAUUGGAAAGAUUUUGCAAAGUGUUUAAAAUAUGGAGAUAUCUUAACUUUUAAACAUACUGGUGGAGCAUAUUUCAAAGUAAAGAUAUUUGGUAGAAAUUCUUUAGAAAUAAAUUAUUCAAAUAUCAAAUGUUUAGAUGAAGUUGUUGAUUUAAGUGAUGAUGAGAGUGAAGAACGCACACAAACUCAAAAGAGAAAAAAUGGCAAAAGAAAAGUUGCAGAUUUGAAUCCAAGUAGAAACAAAGGUGUGAUUAAGAAGGCCAAGAAAUGUUCAAACAUAGGAAAUAUUGAUGAUGGGAGAGUUAAUAAGGAGAUUCCAUAUUUUGAAGUCACAUUGACACCAACUUAUGUCAAUUAUUAUAGUAUGAGGAUACCAAAUGUGUUUUCAAGAAAAUAUUUGAAAGAGACGGAAGAAAUUGCAAUCUUGAAAGUUGGGGAGGACAUGACUAUGGAAGUGGGGUUCAGGUUUGAUGCUAAUGCCAAAGGAAUGGUUUUUCAAAAUGGUUGGAAGAAUUUUUCACAAAAAUAUAAUUUACAAAUUGGUGAUAUUUGUAAAUUUGUGAUGACACAAUCCAAACCACUUUUAUUUUCCAUUGCUAUUACUCGAGCCAAAAUGGAAUCAAAACCUAAGAAGUUCCAAGGUGUCUCUUCGGGUGAUGAUACAAUUCCAAAAAGAAAAAGCAUUGGAGAAAGUUCUAGAGGUAGAGGUCGCCCAAAAAAACAUGUUUCCAAAGAUAUGGUGUGAAGGUCCAAAUUUGUUGGGAGUUCAAUGCAACAACCUUAACAAGAGAGUUGUAGCACAAGACUUGCACUAUCAAGAUCUAUGGAGUACAGCCAUCUGUAAGUAAUGUGCUCAGUGGUGGUAAAUCAGGAAUCAGUGAAAUGCGAUUGAUUUGUUGAUAUUGGUACGUAGAUAAAACUGUUGAAAUUGUUUCAUUUAGAGCAUAAUAUAAUUAUUUUCUUCACAUUGUCGAUCUAAAUCAACCAUGUCACUCUUUGCAAUGUGUAAUAAAUUGUCUUUCACUCUAGAAGAUUAUCAUAAGUAAAGUAUUUGAAUGUAACUACAUGUGUUGGUGUCAUCGAUUACAGGUGCAUAACUGUGGUUACAUAUGUUCACAUGAUUUGUUGUUUAAGCAUCCAUAUGUAAAAUACGGUUAAAAUUUUGUAGAACAAUGUUAUUUAGUACUCUCUUCUUAUGUCUUGAAUUUGUAGGAAUCGAUGAAAUGCGAUUGAUUU